This 440-nucleotide ribosomal RNA is filed under the name uncultured bacterium. Its description in RNAcentral is "partial 16S ribosomal RNA". It matches the Rfam family "Bacterial small subunit ribosomal RNA", at positions 338 to 795 of the family's 1533-position model. The record is from RNAcentral.
CCUACGGGUGGCAGCAGUGGGGGAUAUUGGACAAUGGGGGAAACCCUGAUCCAGCGAUGCCGCGUGAGGGAAGAAGGUUUUCGGAUUGUAAACCUCUGUGGAGGGGGACGAUAAUGACGGUACCCCUUUAGGAAGCCACUGCUAACUACGUGCCAGCAGCCGCGGUAAUACGUAGGUUGCGAGCCUGGUCCGGAAUUAAUGGUGGUAAAGGGGGUGUAGGUGGGAAAGCAAGUCAGAAGUGAAAACUAUGGGCUUAACCCAGAGACUGCUUUUGAAACUGGUUUUCUUGAGUGAAGUAGAGGCGAGCGGAAUUCCUGGUGUAGCGGUGAAAUGCGUAGAUAUUAGGAGGAACACCAGUGGCGAAGGCGGCUUGCUGGGCUUUUACUGACGCUGAGGCGCGAAAGCGUGGGGAGCAAACAGGAUUAGAUACCCCAGUAGUC